Non-coding RNA from Peromyscus maniculatus bairdii (prairie deer mouse), 1615 nucleotides. Lineage: Eukaryota; Metazoa; Chordata; Mammalia; Rodentia; Cricetidae. The record is from RefSeq and is a predicted model, not a curated record.
UGGUGUGCUUAUUAGUGGCGGCCACCACGCUGUUGCUCUGCAUGGCUUCGGCUUGAUGGGGGUGAAGGGAAAACUAGGCAUGUGUCACAGGGGGCAGAUGGAGGGAAAGCUUGCUUGCUUCUUGUCUGAAAUGCGUCUGCUGUGGUCCCUGGGGUGUGUGCCAUCAGCUACGGGAGGGACUCAGAGACUUUCAGUCCGGCGCUCGCCGACUGCUAACACAUUAACCACCCAGUAUGUUAAUGCGCAUCCCUGGCAGUCUGGGAAAUGCUGAGUGGCAGGCGGGAUAAAGAAGUUAUGCUUUGCCCCUGCAGGGUGACAUAACCGUUAAAAAAUAUGGCCACAUGCACCGACUGCUCUGUGGGGUCGUUACAUCUCUUGCUGCAGACUGCUCUUAAUGAAGUCAUCAGCUUGAGAUACAAAGGGUGAUGUCAACAUUCAGAAGCAGAGCGGAGUGGAGCCCCUUUUCUUAUUGUUCAAGGUCCAUCCCUAAGCAGGAAACCAGACAUGUAGAUGGGUAGACCGGCCAUGACACAGGCCAUGACAAACAACUGUUGUGAAUUCUGUCCUUUGACCCCAUAGGUAGUUCAUCGUGUGUGCUUGCACGGUUCAUAGAAAAGGAUCUGCUGUGUGUGUGUGCUCUGGAUGCCUCAUUGUAAGGUUUUAUGCAUGUAAUCACUUUAGGUGUAAAAAGAAUUACUUUGUAGUAAUGACUUUUAAAGACAACUGGAAAGGGUUUGAGAAUUUCACUGAAGUCCCAUUCUCUGCCUGUAACAGAGCUUGAGUGAACCAGAGAUUAACAGCAAGAUUCUCCACACCUAGAGUAUUUACUGACCACAGAUCACAGCCAAGAGUUCCCAUCUGUAAAGCCCCUGAGGGCAUUUGGAUCAGCCUUUUUUUUUUUUUUUUUUUUUCACUCAACCCCCAAAAUGGAUAGUUUGUCUCAUGUGCACACAGCUUGAUUUUCAGGAGCCACUGGACCAUGAAUGACUUCAGGAGAGCUUGCCGAUCCUAUAGGCUGUGGAAUCUAAGGGAACACAUCUUCCAUUAUCAGCUCUCUCCUGGACAUCAGUGUAGGGCCUGCCUAACAUGACUGUGGUCUUGCCGGAGCCUCACAAGAGUCCUGUGUAGUCCAUGGAGUUAGAGCAGACAGCUAAGACUGGAGAUAACUGCCCAGUGGGAGAGAAUGGGCUUGGCGCCUGUCUUCUGUUCCCUGAGUAUGGUCCCCGACCCCUCUGUACCAGGGCACAGAUGCCCUGCUGCUUGAGCUUGGUUGGACCCAGUGGCAAUGCUCUGGUGCCUUUUUGCAGCUCUUCUCCUGAGAGACCAGCAGAUGGGCUAGUGCUCAUGACCGAGAGCUGUUCCCCCAGCAGUUCUGACACCGACAAACGGGCCGCAUGUCAAAGUGGCAUGACCUUCUUGGGCUUUCUUUUCCUUCUGUCCUUUUCCUUUAUCUUUCCAUGGUUGUCAGCAGGUUUUUAGGAAGGGAAAGAAUAGGAGGAGAAUUCUGUGUAUAAAACUGUUUCGGGAGGGUGUGUGUGUGUGUGUGUGUGUGUGUGUGUGUGUGUGUGUGUGUGUGUGUGUGUGUGUUUACAUUUCCUCAGGUGAUUUUAGCAUG